AGACCUUUGCCAACACUCUGGCCUUUAUCCCUUUCCUUUUGGAAAGCUAUCACCAGGAUAAUGUGCCUAUUUUGGUGCAAAGAAGAUCAAAUCUUCACAGAAUGACACACUACUCACCACGGCAUUCCCGACAUCCAAAUGGAUGCAGUGGUCCAUCAUCCUUUGUGUCUACAA
Molecule: small nucleolar RNA, 174 nt
Filed under: Cladophialophora psammophila CBS 110553
Lineage: Eukaryota; Fungi; Ascomycota; Eurotiomycetes; Chaetothyriales; Herpotrichiellaceae
Description: Small nucleolar RNA snR80
Rfam family: Small nucleolar RNA snR80
Source: Rfam by way of RNAcentral